Molecule: ribosomal RNA, 237 nt
Filed under: uncultured bacterium
Lineage: Bacteria
Description: partial 16S ribosomal RNA
Rfam family: Bacterial small subunit ribosomal RNA
Source: RNAcentral
GGAUCUCUUAAAGACUGUUCUCAGUUCGGACUGCAGUCUGCAACUCGACUGCACGAAGCUGGAAUCGCUAGUAAUCGCGGAUCAGCACGCCGCGGUGAAUACGUUCCCGGGCCUUGUACACACCGCCCGUCACACCAUGGAAGUCUGCAAUGCCCGAAGCCGGUGGCCUAACCACUUAUGUGGAAGGAGCCGUCUAAGGCAGGGCAGAUGACUGGGGUGAAGUCGUAACAAGGUAAC